RNAcentral lists this unclassified non-coding RNA (112 nucleotides) under Escherichia coli. RNAcentral's name for it is "STnc490k". The record is from RNAcentral. Lineage: Bacteria; Pseudomonadati; Pseudomonadota; Gammaproteobacteria; Enterobacterales; Enterobacteriaceae.
GCAUUACAGCUAGGCUGGGGGUUCCGGAAAGCUUUCAGCUUUGAGCCAGUUAUUAAAACCCCUUUUGAUUUGCCUAGAUUCUACGUCAGUACUUCAAAAAGCAUAAUCAAAG